AUUGAACGCUGGCGGCAGGCCUAACACAUGCAAGUCGAACGAGUGGCGGACGGGUGAGUAAUGUCUGGGAAACUGCCCGAUGGAGGGGGAUAACUACUGGAAACGGUAGCUAAUACCGCAUACCAUCGGAUGUGCCCAGAGGGGAUUAGCUAGUAGGGUGGGUAACGGCUCCCCAAGGCGACGAUCCCUAGCUGGUCUGCGCUGAGGACCAGCCACACGGGAACGGAGACACGGUCCAGACUCCUACGGGAGGCAGCAGUGGGGAAUAUUGCACAAUGGGCGCAAGCCUGAUGCAGCCAUGCCGCGUGUAUGAAGAAGGCCUGCGGGUUGUAAAGUACUUUCAGCGAGGAGGCGUUACUCGCAGAAGAAGCACCGGCUAACUCCGUGCCAGCAGCCGCGGUAAUUC
This 406-nucleotide ribosomal RNA is filed under the name uncultured bacterium. RNAcentral's name for it is "partial 16S ribosomal RNA". It matches the Rfam family "Bacterial small subunit ribosomal RNA", at positions 29 to 526 of the family's 1533-position model. The record is from RNAcentral.